GAUGAACGCUGGCGGCGUGCCUAAUACAUGCAAGUCGAGCGAACGGACGAGAAGCUUGCUUCUCUGAUGUUAGCGGCGGACGGGUGAGUAACACGUGGAUAACCUACCUAUAAGACUGGGAUAACUUCGGGAAACCGGAGCUAAUACCGGAUAAUAUUUUGAACCGCAUGGUUCAAAAGUGAAAGACGGUCUUGCUGUCACUUCUAGAUGGAUCCGCGCUGCAUUAGCUAGUUGGUAAGGUAACGGCUUACCAAGGCAACGAUGCAUAGCCGACCUGAGAGGGUGAUCGGCCACACUGGAACUGAGACACGGUCCAGACUCCUACGGGAGGCAGCAGUAGGGAAUCUUCCGCAAUGGGCGAAAGCCUGACGGAGCAACGCCGCGUGAGUGAUGAAGGUCUUCGGAUCGUAAAACUCUGUUAUUAGGGAAGAACAUAUGUGUAAGUAACUGUGCACAUCUUGACGGUACCUAAUCAGAAAGCCACGGCUAACUACGUG
Molecule: ribosomal RNA, 497 nt
Filed under: uncultured bacterium
Lineage: Bacteria
Description: partial 16S ribosomal RNA
Rfam family: Bacterial small subunit ribosomal RNA
Source: RNAcentral